Molecule: ribosomal RNA, 254 nt
Filed under: uncultured bacterium
Lineage: Bacteria
Description: partial 16S ribosomal RNA
Rfam family: Bacterial small subunit ribosomal RNA
Source: RNAcentral
UACGGGGGGGGCAAGCGUUGUUCGGAAUCACUGGGCGUAAAGGGCGCGUAGGUGGUGGCUUAAGCGUGCGGUGAAAGCUCGGGGCUCAACCCCGAGUCGGCCGUGCGAACUGGGCUCACUGGAGCAUAGUAGAGGCAGGUGGAAUUCCGGGUGUAGCGGUGGAAUGCGUAGAGAUCCGGAAGAACACCGGUGGCGAAGGCGGCCUGCUGGGCUAUGGCUGACACUGAGGCGCGACAGCGUGGGGAGCAAACAGG